RNAcentral lists this ribosomal RNA (497 nucleotides) under uncultured bacterium. RNAcentral's name for it is "partial 16S ribosomal RNA". It matches the Rfam family "Bacterial small subunit ribosomal RNA", at positions 28 to 507 of the family's 1533-position model. The record is from RNAcentral.
GAUGAACGCUGGCGGCGUGCCUAAUACAUGCAAGUCGAGCGAACGGACGAGAAGCUUGCUUUUCUGAUGUUAGCGGCGGACGGGUGAGUAACACGUGGAUAACCUACCUAUAAGACUGGGAUAACUUCGGGAAACCGGAGCUAAUACCGGAUAAUAUUUUGAACCGCAUGGUUCAAAAGUGAAAGACGGUCUUGCUGUCACCUAUAGAUGGAUCCGCGCUGCAUUAGCUAGUUGGUAAGGUAACGGCUUACCAAGGCAACGAUGCAUAGCCGACCUGAGAGGGUGAUCGGCCACACUGGAACUGAGACACGGUCCAGACUCCUACGGGAGGCAGCAGUAGGGAAUCUUCCGCAAUGGGCGAAAGCCUGACGGAGCAACGCCGCGUGAGUGAUGAAGGUCUUCGGAUCGUAAAACUCUGUUAUUAGGGAAGAACAUAUGUGUAAGUAACUGUGCACAUCUUGACGGUACCUAAUCGGAAAGCCACGGCUAACUACGUG